Molecule: ribosomal RNA, 685 nt
Filed under: Sticta sp. TW-2018h
Lineage: Eukaryota; Fungi; Ascomycota; Lecanoromycetes; Peltigerales; Lobariaceae
Description: SSU rRNA
Rfam family: Bacterial small subunit ribosomal RNA
Source: RNAcentral
GCAAUAGCUGAUUGCAUUUAUUUAAUUUAAUGUAGUUACUACUUGGUAGUUUAAAUUUCUAGGUAGAAUUAUGAUGAUGACAUUAUCUAUCUAUUAGUCUUGACCAAAUUACGUGCCAGCAGUCGCGGUAAUACGUAGAAGACAAGUGUUAUUCAUCUUUAUUAGGUUUAAAGAGUACCAAGACGGUUAAUAAAGCCCAAAAUAAAUGAAUACGGGGGACACAUUAACUAGAGUUAUAUGAAAUGAAGCUAGAAGGUACUGUUGUGUGUAGAGAUGAAAUUCAAUAAUACCAGAUGAUUGGCACAGAUUAAUGCGAAGGCAUCUUCUUAUGUAAUAACUGACGUUGUAGGACGAAGGCUUAGGGAGUGAACAGGAUUAGGUACCCCAGUAAUCUAGGCAGAAAAUGAUGAAUGUCAUAGGUUUAAUUAUUGUGUCUAUAAAUGAAAGUGUAAGCAUUCCACCUCAAGAGUAAUUUGGCAACAUUGGAACUGAAAUCAUUAGACCGUUUCUGAAACCAGUAGUGAAGUAUGUUGUUUAAUUAGAUGAUACACAAAAACCUUACCACAAUUUGAAUAUAUAUAAAUUAUAUUUACAAGCGCUGCACGGCUGUCUACAGUUAAUGUCGUGAGAUUUUGGUUAGCUCCAUUAAAUUGACGUAAACCCUAAUUUUAUUUAUAAAUAUAAU